AUGUCGUUCGGUGUCAGUUGCUGA
RNAcentral lists this non-coding RNA (24 nucleotides) under Arabidopsis thaliana (thale cress). The record is from RNAcentral. Lineage: Eukaryota; Viridiplantae; Streptophyta; Magnoliopsida; Brassicales; Brassicaceae.